Molecule: ribosomal RNA, 497 nt
Filed under: uncultured bacterium
Lineage: Bacteria
Description: partial 16S ribosomal RNA
Rfam family: Bacterial small subunit ribosomal RNA
Source: RNAcentral
GAUGAACGCUGGCGGCGUGCCUAAUACAUGCAAGUCGAGCGAACAGAUGAGGAGCUUGCUCCUCUGACGUUAGCGGCGGACGGGUGAGUAACACGUGGAUAACCUACCGAUAAGACUGGGAUAACUUCGGGAAUCCGUAGCUAAUACCGUAUAAUAUAUUGAACCGCAUGGUUCAAUAGUGAAAGACGGUUUUGCUGUCACUUAUAGAUGGAUCCGCGCCGCAGUAGCUAGUUGGUAAGGUAACGGCUUACCAAGGCGACGAUGCGUAGCCGACCUGAGAGGGUGAUCGGCCACACUGGAACUGAGACACGGUCCAGACUCCUACGGGAGGCAGCAGUAGGGCAUCUUGCAGAAUGGGCGAAAGCUUGACGGAGCAACGCCGCGUGAGUGAUGAAGGUCUUGUGAUCGUAGAACUCUGUUAUUUGGGAAGAACAAAUGUGUAAGUACCUAUGCACGUCUUGACGGUACCUGAUCAGAAAGCCACGGCUAACUACGUG